AGAGUUUGAUCAUGGCUCAGGACGAACGCUGGCGGCAUGCCUAACACAUGCAAGUCGAACGAGAAAGUUCCUUCGGGAGCAAUUAAAGUGGCGCACGGGUGAGUAACGCGUAGACAAUCUGCCCUUCAGUCUGGGACAACUUUUCGAAAGGAGAGCUAAUACCGGAUAACAAUGCAUGACACAAGUUGUAUAUUUGAAAGCUUUAUGUGCUGAAGGAGGGGUCUGCGUCCCAUUAGCUAGUUGGUAAGGUAAAGGCUUACCAAGGCAACGAUGGGUAGCGGGUUUGAGAGGACGAUCCGCCACACUGGAACUGAGACACGGUCCAGACUCCUACGGGAGGCAGCAGUGGGGAAUAUUGCACAAUGGAGGAAACUCUGAUGCAGCAAUGUCGCGUGAGUGAAGAAGGCCCUUGGGUCGUAAAGCUCUUUUAUGGGGGAAGAUGAUGACGGUACCCCAAGAAUAAGCACCGGCUAACUAUGUGCCAGCAGCCGCGGUAAUACAUAGGGUGCGAGCGUUGUUCGGAAUUACUGGGCGUAAAGGGCGCGCAGGCGGAAUAGUAAGUCGGAGGUGAAAGCCCGGGGCUCAACCCCGGAGGGUCUUUCGAAACUAC
Molecule: ribosomal RNA, 610 nt
Filed under: uncultured bacterium
Lineage: Bacteria
Description: bacterial SSU rRNA
Rfam family: Bacterial small subunit ribosomal RNA
Source: RNAcentral